UGGGGAAUUUUCCGCAAUGGGCGAAAGCCUGACGGAGCAAUACCGCGUGAGGGAGGAAGGCUUUUGGGUUGUAAACCUCUUUUCUUAGGGAAGAAGAUCUGACGGUACCUAAGGAAUCAGCAUCGGCUAACUCCGUGCCAGCGGCCGCGGUAAUACGGAGGAUACAAGCGUUAUCCGGAAUUAUUGGGCGUAAAGCGUCCGCAGGUGGCUCUUCAAGUCUGCUGUCAAAGACCACAGCUCAACUGUGGGCAGGCGGUGGAAACUGUGUAACUAGAGUUCGGUAGGGGUAGAGGGAAUUCCCAGUGUAGCGGUGAAAUGCGUAGAUAUUGGGAAGAACACCAGUGGCGAAGGCGCUCUACUGGGCCGAGACUGACGCUGAUGGACGAAAGCUAGGGGAGCGAAAGGGAUUAGAUACCCCUGUAGUCC
This 426-nucleotide ribosomal RNA is filed under the name uncultured prokaryote. Its description in RNAcentral is "bacterial SSU rRNA". It matches the Rfam family "Bacterial small subunit ribosomal RNA", at positions 355 to 796 of the family's 1533-position model. The record is from RNAcentral.